AUUUUAAGGAAACUGUUCACUGUUUCCCAAAUCAUAUUCACAUAGGAUCCUUUCACACACAGACAGCAAAUUAAGUGGGGUAUGCUGGCCUGCAACAAGAAUAGAAAGAAAACACACUCCUGGUCCAUUUGCUGGGCCUUUUAUUUCUCUCUCACUAUCAUUACUGCAACCAGGCAGUGAGACAGCAAGGCAAUAGCUAGUAAUCUCUGUCAAGUCCGCUCAGUCUACGCUACUGACUGAAGUUUGUCAUUACUUAUUUCUUCAGAUCGCCUGCCAGGAUGCUUUGGGUGGAGAGGGAGAGCAACGUGCACUUCUCUUCCGACUUUUAAUUGAUCUGAUUCCAGCAUUUAUCUCCUUGUAGCUCCAGGGUUGUCCGGGACUUCAGCACCAGUACUUAAGCUUGCAUUCUCACCCACAUCUGCUGUACUGUCUGCGCAUAACAAUUCACAAGGAUGUGACAGUUAAUCUAUAAAUGCCACUAAGGAAAAUAGCACAUUUCUUCUAAAGGAGUUGAGGAAAAACAGAGAAAAAAAAAAAGCAUAAAGCAAAGACUAGGAAAACACAAAGACUGAAAGCUAUGCUGACUUGAAGACCACAUCUGAAGUACAUAUAAUUCAAAAAAAAAAAAAAAAAAAGGUCCUUUUUGUUUCAAACAUUUUACAUCUUGGUCAAGGACUGGCUACACUGAGAAUCAAUGAAUUCCCUACCUUUUCUUAUUUGCAGCAGGGCCUCCAGUUGGAAGGAAAUGCUGUGAGAGGAAAAUGCAUCAGCAAAUUUAUUUAUUUAUUAACAUUAGAAGAGGUUUGAAUGCAAUUUUUAAAAAUACUCCCUGAGGUAGGUACUCACCUUCCUAUUUCUGUUACAUGGCAUUUAUUUUCUGCCACCGUACUAUCUAAAUACAGACUCCAACUAAAGUAGCAUACUGUCCAUCCUAUCCCAGCUGGUCUCGCAUUUGCUCAGGAAAACACUACAGCUAAUGUGCUCACCAAGCUGGUUGCUGGCAAGCAAGUUUAAAAAACAAACAAACAAACAAACAAAUGAACAAACAAACAAACAAACAAACAAAAAAUUCUUUAAUUCAUUCGGGCACUCAGAAUUCCAUGGUGGCUGAAGUCUUCUCCCCUGUGGGUCAGGGGGGCACAGCAGCCAAUUAUAUUUUGUAAUGUGGUGAUCAUCUCAUCUUCAGUAUUUCAAGCAAGGAACCCCACAGUAGAAACAGUUAAAAUAUGAAAGAACCAAAUUUCUGGAAGAUAUAAAUCACCCUUGUGAUAUAUGGAGUAAUAAUUUGUGUCAAGAAGAUGGUUGAUAUUAAUAAAGAAGGGGAGACAUGGGAGUGUGGCCGUGGGGGUCGACAAGCCCCAUGGUUGGUGAUAACAUCAGACUCUUAACGAUGAGGCCAUCAGGAGUGUAAAGAGUUUAGAGGGAACCAAGAAGGGUGAUUCAGGAGACACCAUGCAGUCUCAGGUUGCUUGUUCUCCAGCCAUUAAGGCAUGGAAGUUGCUGGGGGGUUGCUGUUGCUGGUCAAAAUUGUUUGACCAAUGACAAGUUGUUUGAAAAGGACUACUGUGGGGUGAAGGGUAUAUAAGAGGGGAACCUGUCCUCAAGAUGGAAAGGCAACAGGAUACAACAAAGUUAUGUCACCAAUAAAGAAGUAGGAAGAAGGAAUGAAUAGGACGGGCUAGCAGAAUGGGGACCAGGACAGAAACAGGGACACUGAUUGCCUCAUGAAGAUAGGUUUGGCCAAACUCAGCAAACUGCUCAAAGAAGGUUGUACAGAAAGUCGCUGGGAAGAAGCUCAAGCUGAAAGAAGUGGAGCCGCGCACACAAUUGCCCCUUGGUGGUCAGCAGUUGCGAGUUAUGGGGAAUCGUACAUCCUUAGGAACAAAGACUGUCCUGGUAACCUUACAGCUUAUUCUUCUUAUUAACAAUCAGACAGUUUAUGAUCCUGUAACAUGGGACCAAACUGAGGUCAAGGUGUGGGACUCUUCAACUAAAAAUGACAAGGUUGUAGUGGGAUUGUUCUGCACCUGGUGAGCAAUCUCUGAGGCCUUAAAGAGCCUUGUGGGACCACAGUCAGAAAUGUGUGGUUUGCCAGACAGCAAGGAAGCUGCAGGCUCGUUUACAGAUCCGACUACUACACCAUCGGCCCCUCUGCUGCUACAGCCAUCGCAGGCCUUUGCUGUUACUCCCCCUGGUAACCUGGGCGUGCCUUUUGACCCAGGGCCUAUUGGCCUUGAAAAGGAGAUGGAAAUGUUUUCCUUUGAUCCGGGAAGAAUAGGAUACAUAAGGCCCGAAGAACGAGUUGCUUAACAACUUAAAGUGAGACAU
This is a non-coding RNA of Anas platyrhynchos (mallard), 2328 nucleotides long. Lineage: Eukaryota; Metazoa; Chordata; Aves; Anseriformes; Anatidae. The record is from RefSeq and is a predicted model, not a curated record.